Molecule: ribosomal RNA, 397 nt
Filed under: uncultured bacterium
Lineage: Bacteria
Description: partial 16S ribosomal RNA
Rfam family: Bacterial small subunit ribosomal RNA
Source: RNAcentral
AUACGUAGGGGGCGAGCGUUGUCCGGAAUGAUUGGGCGUAAAGGGCGCGUAGGCGGCCGCUUAAGUCUGGAGUGAAAGUCCUGUUUUCAAGAUGGGAAUUGCUUUGGGUACUGGGGGGCUUGAGUGCAGGAGAGGUUAUCGGAAUUCCCGGUGUAGCGGUGAAAUGCGUAGAGAUCGGGAGGAACACCAGUGGCGAAGGCGGGUAACUGGACUGCAACUGACGCUGAGGCGCGAAAGUGUGGGGAGCAAACAGGAUUAGAUACCCUGGUAGUCCACACUGUAAACGAUGAAUGCUAGGUGUAAGAGGUAUCGACCCCUUUUGUGCCGGAGUCAACACAAUAAGCAUUCCGCCUGGGGAGUACGGCCGCAAGGUUGAAACUCAAAGGAAUUGACGGGG